RNAcentral lists this ribosomal RNA (538 nucleotides) under Cortinarius acutovelatus. RNAcentral's name for it is "eukaryotic LSU rRNA". The stretch from base 210 to 363 matches the Rfam family "5.8S ribosomal RNA". Lineage: Eukaryota; Fungi; Basidiomycota; Agaricomycetes; Agaricales; Cortinariaceae. The record is from RNAcentral.
CUCUAGGGAGCAUGUGCACACUUGUCAUCUUUAUAUCUCCACCUGUGAACCUUUUGUAGACCUGCAUAUCUCUCUGAAUUUGCCUGGCAGAUUCAGGUUUAAGGAUUGAUCUGUUCUUUCCUUGUGUUUUCAGGUCUAUGUUUUUUCAUAUACCCCAAUGUAUGUUUAUAGAAUGUAAUAAACAGGCCUCUGUGCCUAUAAACUUAUACAACUUUCAGCAACGGAUCUCUUGGCUCUCGCAUCGAUGAAGAACGCAGCGAAAUGCGAUAAGUAAUGUGAAUUGCAGAAUUCAGUGAAUCAUCGAAUCUUUGAACGCAUCUUGCGCUCCUUGGUAUUCCGAGGAGCAUGCCUGUUUGAGUGUCAUUAAUAUAUCAACCCUCUUUUGCUUUUUUUGCAUGUCGAGUGUUGGAUGUGGGGGUUUUUGCUGGACUCUCUCCUUUGAGGUCAGCUCUCCUAAAAUACAUUAGCAAAACAAUUUGUUUACUGCUCAUUGGUGUGAUAAAUAUCUACGCUAUUGGCGGUAUAAAGCACAGUUUAG